Molecule: ribosomal RNA, 492 nt
Filed under: uncultured bacterium
Lineage: Bacteria
Description: partial 16S ribosomal RNA
Rfam family: Bacterial small subunit ribosomal RNA
Source: RNAcentral
AGUGAACGCUGGCGGUAGGCCUAACACAUGCAAGUCGAACGGCAGCACAGUAAGAGCUUGCUCUUACGGGUGGCGAGUGGCGGACGGGUGAGGAAUACAUCGGAAUCUACUUUUUCGUGGGGGAUAACGUAGGGAAACUUACGCUAAUACCGCAUACGACCUACGGGUGAAAGCAGGGGAUCUUCGGACCUUGCGCGAUUGAAUGAGCCGAUGUCGGAUUAGCUAGUUGGCGGGGUAAAGGCCCACCAAGGCGACGAUCCGUAGCUGGUCUGAGAGGAUGGUCAGCCACACUGGAACUGAGACACGGUCCAGACUCCUACGGGAGGCAGCAGUGGGGAAUAUUGGACAAUGGGCGCAAGCCUGCUCCAGCCAUACCGCGUGGGUGAAGAAGGCCUUCGGGUUGUAAAGCCCUUUUGUUGGGAAAGAAAAGCAGCAGGUUAAUACCCCGCUGUUCUGACGGUACCCAAAGAAUAAGCACCGGCUAACUUCGUG